Molecule: long non-coding RNA, 3451 nt
Filed under: Sinocyclocheilus grahami
Lineage: Eukaryota; Metazoa; Chordata; Actinopteri; Cypriniformes; Cyprinidae
Description: lncRNA (ENSSGRG00000053976.1)
Source: RNAcentral
GACACAGAGGGAGGCGACAGGGAGUUUAAAAGAAUCAGUCUGUGAGAUAGACACGCUUGUGGCAACUACAUUUGUCAGUGGAAGUUUUCAGUAACUUCGAUUCUGGAUCCACAGCACCACCGAUAAUAAUGAUGUUCUGCAGAGCGACUUGGCAAAGGCUUGCGCCUCUGGCACGCAAAACACUAACUCCUUUCGGCAAUGCUGUAUUCCCUACGCGACAGAUGUCCUUUGGUCUACCGGCGUCCGGCACAAACAUAGCUUACGUGGUACUUGGUGGAAGCUCACUUACUGCUGCUCUUGUUUAUGCUUAUAAGACAAUACAUUCUGACAGUGCAAGAUAUAAUGAAAGAAUUGCUCAACUCGAGGCCAGACCUAAAAGAGCAGUGGCCGAGGUAGCCUCGGUAGCAGAAGCAGCUGCGGUUGUGGAAACCACAGCAGCUGAGGUGAUUAAUGCAGAGGCUGAACAGACCCCAGAACCUGUGGAGGCAGCAACUGCGAUUGUAGAAGCAGUAGCAGCUGAUGCACCUGUUGUUGAGGAUGUCACUGCUGAGGCUGCUGCUCCCAUUGCUGAAACAACCGUUAUCUCAAUGUCUGACCUACUGAGCACUGUGAAAGUCCUGGCUGGAUCUACGGCAGAGAUUGCAGCUGCUUCAGUCGGUGAUCAGCAUCUGGUGGCCGCAGUGAGAUUGGCUGAGGAAAACAAUUCUAUGGAGACCCUCAAUGGGCUGGAGGUUGCUGAUGUUAAAGCAGAGGUCCCAGUAGAAGUGCCUGUGGGAGCUGUGGUUGAGGAGGCCAUGAUAGGUAGACUGAAUCUGAAAACAGAAGGAAAAGAACUGGAGGAACUGCCAUCAUCACUUCAUGCAGUAGAAGAAACUAUUGUUGUGGCAGAUGACCAUGUCAAGUCUGAGGCAGACAGCCCUGCUGUGCCUGAAGUUAAUGUUGAAAGCCUUGCUUCAUCAGAGGAGGACCUUGUUACAGAGAUGGAGAACAUUUUGGAAUUGGAAGACUCAACAAGCCCUGUGGUGAUGCUCUCAGAAGAUGAUGCCGUCUCUGGAGCUGCAGAGUUGACAUCAGAAAGAGUCGAGGACGUAGGUCAGAAAAUGGAAGAAUGUAAAGCGUUGUGUCAUGAGCCAACUGCCACAGAAACAGAACAUGCAGAUCUCACAGCACCACCAGCAGAGCUGGAGGACUCAUUACAGGCUACAGGUGCAACAGAGGCUGCAGAAGAAGUUAUUGUCGUGGAAAUGAUGCAGGAUGCUGUGGAGAAAGCUAAACCUGUUGAGGCAUCAGAUGAAGCUGUUGAAAGUGGAAAUGUUGCAAUGACCAUGACACAAGCCUGAAGUGAAUGCACCUGAGACACUGAAAACGAGUGAAACUAAAUAAUCUGAUGUAAUACAUACUGAAGUUAACAUAUAAUGAUGCUGUUACAGCCAUAAAAAAGACCUCUAAAUGACUUUUUGUUUCCAACUGAAUCGCAAAUUUGGUGAAUGACUAUGGUCUCCUUAAUUUUGUUAUUUCAUCUGAAAAUGAGUCCGUUGAAACUGUUUUGAGUUUAAUUUAUCUAAUUUUGUGUCUCUGGAAAAUAGUGGUCUGUGACACUGUAUUAUGCUGAAUAUCAAAGGUUUUGUGGUCACAUUCAUGUUGUUAGAUUGCUUUUUAUUUUAAAGUGAAAAGAUAAAAUUAGAAUUAGGGCAGAAGGUCCCAACUGGCAUGUUGUUGAUAGUGCUUAUUGUAAUUCAUUAGGUUAUUAUUCAGUUAUUCCGUUAUACACAAAAUAUUGUAAACAUGCAUUGCAUUAAGUAAUUAAAAAAAAAAAUGUGUAAUCAAAAUGGAAGGAAAUUUUAUAUGAAAUUUAAAUUAAUCACAUCAAUCUUAAAUUUAUUUAUUUAUUUGUAUUUAUUUUUAAUGUAUAGGUGUACAUUUUAGACAUCUUCAAUAUAUAUAUAUAUAGGCUAAUUAAGUGAACUGAUCUGAAUUUAAUUUGGAUUAAAUUUAAAUUCAUAGUGUUGCUAUUAUGAUGUAUCUUAAAUUAAUACAUGGUCAAUUAGAUAUGUAAGUUGUAGCAUAAAUUUACCUUUCAUAACCUUUCAUAAUUAUCUGGGAUUCUACUUUAUCUGUAAUUGAUUAAUUAUUUAGCUAAACUGUCAAAGCACAAUUUUAAAUAGUAUUUUAAUGACACACACACACACACACACACAGAUUGUUAUGCUUGAGUUAAUGUAUUAUGUGAUUGUGUGUUCUGAAUUAGAUCAUGAUUAAACUAUUGAGUAUUGCAGAGAACAUGGAACAAAACUGAAAUAUGUGUGUAAAAAAAGUAAAUUAUUUUAAAUGCAUCUUUGUUUCAAGAAUUGCAUGAACUGUUUUGGAAAUUAGGCCAACUGAAUUAGUGUGUUAGUUUUUUAUAGUGUUAGCAGCACUUGACUGAAAUGAAUCUCUACUAUGUGCUCUCACCAGUUCUUGGCAAGGCGUAAUACAUGUGAAGUCAUUAUUAACAGAAAGAGUGUAUUUACAUUAAACUCAUUCAAUAUCUGAUUUUCAAAAUUGUCUCUGUUACUAAUUCACAAGCAGUCCGGACACAACAAAUAUACGAAAAUAACGGCAGAACAUUCAUUCUAGACAAAGAAUUUUAGUAUUACUUGCUGUGUGCUUCUCUGAUCUCCUAUGCAUGGUGUAUUACCUGAUUCGGUCAUCUUUUAUUUUUCUGUUAUUUUAUUAAAGAUGAGACUGGUAAAAUAGCUAAUAUGGAAAAUAACAGGCCACUUGCCUUGGCAAGUAUACUUUCAAUUGUAUUAAAACAAAUCCUUUUGGAUAGGCCCUGCCUCCCUGUGAAAAUCACUAUGAAACCAAUCAACACCAACAAUAUUUUUUGUUUUUUUGUUGUUUUGUUUUUGUUUGUUUGUUUUGGAUUAUUGAUGGUAUUAUUUGUUAUUUGUGCUUCCUUUUGUAAAUCACUCUGAAAAAUGUGAUGGCCCAGUUAGUAGUUCACAAAAAACUAGACCACCACCAACCCCUGUCCCAUCCUUUAUCCCCUGGGGCAGGCACACAGUUUUUUAUUUGAUCAGUGUGCCACACCUCCUCCCUGGUCUCCCAAACUCAAAGUUUUUAUUUAUCCAUCCACUCUUGAGUCCUGGUCAGCCAGAUCCAACACACCACAGCCAGGGAGGGGACUUGGCAUCCCUCUGUGAGCGACCCGAGAGAAGCUGACCUGAACCCCAUCCGACACCCAUAUAGCAAAGCCUUCACUGAUCUUCACUGUGAGCGAGAGACAUAAAGCAGCGUCUCGCUCUAGUAAAAUGUCUUCACUUUUUACUUUUCAAUUCAAGAGUAAAUAUCCAUAUAAUUUAGUUCUAUUAUUUUAACAUUAGUUAAUGCAUUAACAAAAUAAGCUUAAUGCAGCCUACAUUAUAGUUUAACUGACUAAAAUCCACUGUAAAAUAGUUUUCAGACCGCU